This 301-nucleotide ribosomal RNA is filed under the name uncultured bacterium. RNAcentral describes it as "partial 16S ribosomal RNA". It matches the Rfam family "Bacterial small subunit ribosomal RNA", at positions 509 to 807 of the family's 1533-position model. The record is from RNAcentral.
CAGUAGCCGCGGUAACACGUAGGGUGCAAGCGUUAAUCGGAAUUACUGGGCGUAAAGCGUGCGCAGGCGGUUCUAUAAGACAGAUGUGAAAUCCCCGGGCUCAACCUGGGAACUGCAUUUGUGACUGUAGAGCUGGAGUGCGGCAGAGGGGGAUGGAAUUCCGCGUGUAGCAGUGAAAUGCGUAGAUAUGCGGAGGGACACCGAUGGCGAAGGCAAUCCCCUGGGCAUGCACUGACGCUCAUGCACGAAAGCGUGGGGAGCAAACAGGAUUAGAUACCCCAGUAGUCCCUGUCUCUUAUAC